Molecule: ribosomal RNA, 492 nt
Filed under: uncultured bacterium
Lineage: Bacteria
Description: bacterial SSU rRNA
Rfam family: Bacterial small subunit ribosomal RNA
Source: RNAcentral
AGAGUUUGAUCCUGGCUCAGAAUGAACGUUGGCGGCGUGGAUUAGGCAUGCAAGUCGUACGCACAGCUUCGGCUGUGAGUGGCGCAAGGGUGAGUAAUGCGAAGGUAACCAACCCUGGAUUGGGCAUAACCGCGGGAAACUGCGGGUAAUUCCCAGCGAUGUCGCGAGAUGGCAUCAUCUUGCGACCAAAGGUGUGAUUCCGCUCUAGGACGGGCCUUCGUGGUAUUAGGUAGUUGGUGAGGUAACGGCUCACCAAGCCGACGAUGCCUACCGGGUGUGAGAGCAUGACCCGGCACACUGGAACUGAGACACUGUCCAGACACCUACGGGUGGCUGCAGUCGAGAAUCUUCGGCAAUGGGCGAAAGCCUGACCGAGCGACGCCGCGUGAGGGAAGAAGGCCUUCGGGUUGUAAACCUCUUUCGUAGAGGAGGAAGGGGCCGUGCAGAGCGGUCUUUGACCUAUUCUAGGAAGAAGCUUGGGCUAAGUUCGUG